Molecule: long non-coding RNA, 335 nt
Filed under: Sinocyclocheilus grahami
Lineage: Eukaryota; Metazoa; Chordata; Actinopteri; Cypriniformes; Cyprinidae
Description: lncRNA (ENSSGRG00000033084.1)
Source: RNAcentral
GAAACAUGACAGGAAUACGUUUCUCAAAGUGCUGCUGUUUAGUGUCAUAUUUUGAUUACAGUUUUGUUCCUUGUUGCCACAGUUAGGACGAUUACAUUUGAUGUGGACGCUGGGAAAAUACAACAGCCAUUUCUCUUAAUUUAAGUCCACAACAGAGAAAGAAUCUGCUGGCAAAUUUCAAAGAUUGGAGGAAAAUCCGAUGCCCAGGCUGUUUGGUUAUGGUCCUGAGCGUGGGCACAUUUGAACACCUGGCCCAUAAGUUUGGUUUGCCUCUCAGAUUCAUCAUGUCUAAUCUGUGGCUCUUCUCUCCGCUACUCAGCAGGGUGUUGGAGUGA